GGCUGGAAGGGUUGAGCUAGAUGGGAACACCAUUGAUUAGGCUGGAGUGGUUGAUGUAGAUUGGAGCACCAUGGAGGAUCCUGAAGGGGUUGAUCUAGAUGGGAGGAUCCUGGAGGCUCCUGGAGGGGUUGAGCUAGAGGGGAGCACCAUGGAGUAUCCUGGAGGGGUUGGGCUAGAUGGGAGCACCAUGGAGGAUCCUGGAGGGGUUGAGCUAGAUGGGAGCACCAUGGAGGAGCCUGCAGUGGUUGAUCUAGAUGGGAACACCAUGGAGGCAACACAAGGUGAAAACAGGCUACACAAGCAGGUCGCUCUCCGCCUGACUCUCCACGAUCUUCUUCAUCUGAUGAGGAGUAUGAAAGAUCGGACCAAAACGCAGCGUGUUGUGAUGGCAUCGACUGGGAUGAUGGAAUUGGUGCUGACGAGAGUGUUGCUGAUAAGACCUGGUGUUCCACAAAGGAAUCACAGGUGACUGAAGAUUCUGAUGAAGAGGAAUCUGACAAGUUUGAAGAUUCUGAUGAAGAGGAGUCUGACAAGUUUGAAUAUUCUGGGGACAGCAGCUUGGACGAACAACACAUUCCUUCCCUUUGUGUGAAACACUCCUCCAUCCACAGACACUCCUCCAUCCACAGACACACCUCCACCCGCAGACGCUCCUCCAUCCACAGACGCUCCUCCAUCCACAGACGCUCCUCCAUCCACAGACGCUCCUCCAUCCACAGACGCUCCUCCAUCCACAGACGCUCCUCCAUCCACAGACGCUCCUCCAUCCACAGACGUGCCUCCACCUACAGACGCUGCUCCACCCAUAGACGCUCCUCCAUCCACAGAUGCUCCUCCACCCACAUACGCUCCUCCAUCCACAGACGCUCCUCCAUCCACAGACGCUCCUCCAUCCACAGACGCUCCUCCAUCCACAGACGCUCCUCCAUCUACAGACGCUACUCCACCCACAGACGCUCCUCCAUCCACAGACGCUCCUCCACCCACAUACGCUCCUCCAUCCACAGACGCUCCUCCAUCCACAGUCGCUCCUCCAUCCACAGACGCUCCUCCAUCCACAGACGCACCUCCAUCCACAGACGCUGCUCCAUCCACAGACGCUCUUCCAUCCAGACGCUCCUCCAUCCACAGACGCUCCUCCAUCCACAGACGCACCUCCAUCCACGACGCUCCUCCACCCACAGACGCUCCUCCAUCCACAGACACACCUCCAUCCACAGACGCACCUCCAUCCACGACGCUCCUCCACCCACAGACGCUCCUCCAUCCACAGACGCUCCACCAUCCACAUACGCUCCUCCAUCCACAGACACUCCUCCAUCCACAGACGCUCCUCCAUCCACAGAUGCACCUCCAUCCACAGACGCACCUCCAUCCACAGACGCACCUCCAUCCACAGACGCUCCUCCACCCACAGACGCUCCUCCAUCCACAGUCGCUCCUCCAUCCAGACGCACCUCCAUCCACAGACACACCUCCAUCUGCAGACACACCUCCAUCCACAGAUGCUCCUCCAUCCACAGACACACCUGACCCACAUCAACUGAUUUGCGAGGAUGACAUCAUGUCACUUAUGAAGUCAGUUUAAUACAUCUGACAAACUGUCUUGUGCUACCUGUGGAUCAGUGCCUGUUCCACAACCAUGGAACAGGUGAAGAUUGCCAUGGCCUUCCUCUCUUUGAGGUCCACUUCAGUUUGAGAGGCACAGGAAGCAUCAUUGAAUGGGUCAGUUAAUCCAAUCCUAACAUGGGUUUGUUGUACUUCUCAACAUGCACGCAAUGAAGGAUGUCACAGACUUGUAUCUUUGAACUUCCUAUGCUAUUUAGACAUUGGUUGGCAUCCACCCAAGUAAGGAUGCUUGCGCAAAUGUGUUUGUUCAAAAAAAGCUGUAACUUGGUAAUAGUAUACAAUUUUAUGGUAUAUUUUGGAUAUAAUAAUGUAAUAUUUAGGUUAUUUUUAGUAUAUAUUUUCAUCCAGGUUGUGUCUCAGAGUGAAAGCACUGCCAGCAAUCAAAAGUGACCAAAACAUCAGCCAGGAAGCAUAGGAACUGAGAAGUGGUCUGUGGUCCCCAUCUGCAGAACCACUCCUUUAUUGGGGGUGUCUUGCUAUAAUUUACACCUGUUGUCUAUUCCAUUUGCACAACAGCAUGUGAAAUUUAUUGUCAAUCAGUGUUGCUUCCUAAGUGGACAGUUUGAUUUCACAGAAGUGUGAUUGACUUGGAGUUACAUUGUGUUGUUUAAGUGUUUUUGAGCAGUGUACAUUUAAACUCAGUUUUUCACAAUUCCUGAUAUUUAAUUCUAGUAAAAAUUCCAUGUC
Long non-coding RNA from Oncorhynchus tshawytscha (Chinook salmon), 2316 nucleotides. NCBI's taxonomy places the organism in Eukaryota, Metazoa, Chordata, Actinopteri, Salmoniformes, Salmonidae. The record is from Ensembl.